GAUGAACGCUGGCGGCGUGCUUAACACAUGCAAGUCGAACGAUGAAGCCCAGCUUGCUGGGUGGAUUAGUGGCGAACGGGUGAGUAACACGUGAGUAACCUGCCCUUAACUCUGGGAUAAGCCUGGGAAACUGGGUCUAAUACCGGAUAGGAGUGCCUACCGCAUGGUGGGUGUUGGAAAGAUUUAUCGGUUUUGGAUGGACUCGCGGCCUAUCAGCUUGUUGGUGAGGUAAUGGCUCACCAAGGCGACGACGGGUAGCCGGCCUGAGAGGGUGGCCGGCCCCACUGGGACUGAGACACGGCCAGGACCCCAACGGGGGGCAGCAGGGGGGAAUUUUCCAAAAGGGGCGAAAGCCUGAGGCAGCGACGCCGCGGGGGGGAGGACGGCCUUCGGGUGGUAAACCUCUUUCAGUAGGGAAGAAGCGAAAGGGACGGUACCGGCAGAAGAAGCACCGGCUAACUACGG
This 465-nucleotide ribosomal RNA is filed under the name uncultured bacterium. RNAcentral's name for it is "partial 16S ribosomal RNA". It matches the Rfam family "Bacterial small subunit ribosomal RNA", at positions 28 to 506 of the family's 1533-position model. The record is from RNAcentral.